AUACGGAGGGUGCAAGCGUUAAUCGGAAUUACUGGGCGUAAAGCGUACGUAGGCGGUCCGUUAAGUUAGAUGUGAAAGCCCCGGGCUUAACCUGGGAACUGCAUUUAAAACUGGCGGACUAGAGUUGAGUAGAGGGGAGUGGAAUUUCAGGUGUAGCGGUGAAAUGCGUAGAGAUCGGAAGGAACACCAGUGGCGAAGGCGACUCCCUGGACUCGAACUGACGCUGAGGUACGAAAGCGUGGGUAGCAAACGGGAUUAGAUACCCUAGUAGUCC
Molecule: ribosomal RNA, 274 nt
Filed under: uncultured bacterium
Lineage: Bacteria
Description: partial 16S ribosomal RNA
Rfam family: Bacterial small subunit ribosomal RNA
Source: RNAcentral